ACCCGCUGAACUUAAGCAUAUCAAUAAGCGGAGGAAAAGAAACCAACAGGGAUUGCCUCAGUAACGGCGAGUGAAGCGGCAACAGCUCAAAUUUGAAAUCUGGCCUUUGGUCCGAGUUGUAAUUUGUAGAGGAUGUUUCGAGCAUGGUCCGGUCUAAGUUCCUUGGAACAGGACGUCAUAGAGGGUGAGAAUCCCGUAUGCGACUGGGUGCCUAAGCUUAUGUGAAACUCCUUCAAUGAGUCGAGUUGUUUGGGAAUGCAGCUCUAAAUGGGUGGUAAAUUUCAUCUAAAGCUAAAUAUUGGCCAGAGACCGAUAGCGCACAAGUAGAGUGAUCGAAAGAUGAAAAGCACUUUGGAAAGAGAGUUAAACAGUACGUGAAAUUGUUGAAAGGGAAGCGCUUGCAACCAGACUUGCAUGCAGUUAAUCAUCCGGUGUUCUCACCGGUGCACUUGAUUGUAUUCAGGCCAGCAUCGGUUUCAGUGGUUGGAUAAAGGCCUUGGGAAUGUAGCUUCUUUCGGGGAGUGUUAUAGCCCUCGGUGUAAUGCAGCCUACUGGGACCGAGGACCGCGCUUCGGCUAGGAUGCUGGCGUAAUGGUUGUAAGCGACCCGUCUUGAAACACGG
This 622-nucleotide ribosomal RNA is filed under the name uncultured fungus. RNAcentral describes it as "eukaryotic LSU rRNA". It matches the Rfam family "Eukaryotic large subunit ribosomal RNA", at positions 23 to 664 of the family's 3401-position model. The record is from RNAcentral. Lineage: Eukaryota; Fungi.